UUGAAGGUUUUUUAGGUUUUAUCUGUUGUGGUUUGUUUUGGGUUUUUUCUUAAAUCUUUCUUGCUUGCUUCCUGGCACAGAGAGCACAAUUACGGAGCUCAGGACGGCUGGCAGAAACCUCCCCAAGCCCAAGGGUGACAGAUCUUGGCAGGAUCCCAGCACCACAGCCUGUGUAUAGAUGAGCUUCACCCACCGAAAUUCAAGCCCCAACCACCGAAGGAAAAGAGAACCAGCUUGGAUUCCUCGGCAUCUCGAUGGAGGCACUUCAAGAUCAGAAAGGAGGAGCCAGUCACAGCCCUGAGAGAAGAGCAGGAUCUUGCCCAUUCUUCAGGAGCAGAGGCCUUCAGUAUCCUGCCACUCUCAGGUGUGCUGCAGCCAGGACAGAGCCAGCAGGUCUCCUCCACCUUCUCUGGCCACCCCAACAGCACCUCCAAUGUCACCGAGCUGUGCCACGUGGAGGGAGGCCCCACCUGCGAGGUGCUGGUGACCGGGGAGGCCUCAGGUGUCAGCUCCUCCCUGAGCCCCCAGGAGAUCAGCUGUGGCUCUCAGGCACCUCUCAGGGAGAGAAGGGAGCUGAAGCAGCCAGCUCAAAAGCUUCAGGAGGAGGCAAAAGCCUUAGAGGAGGAAGAGAGGCUGAAGAAGGGAAAGAAGGGAGUCUCUGUGGGGAAGCUGCCUCCAAAACUAGAGAAGGGGAAAACGGAACCACCUGAGACAAAGGAAACCAAAAUCCCAAAAAAGGAAACAAAAUCUCCUGAGAAGAAGGAAAAGAAAGGCCCAGAGAAGAAAGAAACCAAGGCCCCAGAGAAGAAGGUCACCAAAGCCCCCCAGAAGGGGAAAGCCAAAGUCCAAAGAAGGGGGGGAACUGAAAUCCCAGAGAACCCAUCUGGGAUGGAGAAGAACUCCUUAUUUUUUAUUCACACAACUAAUUUU
Long non-coding RNA from Serinus canaria (Common canary), 930 nucleotides. RefSeq lists it as uncharacterized. Lineage: Eukaryota; Metazoa; Chordata; Aves; Passeriformes; Fringillidae. The record is from RefSeq and is a predicted model, not a curated record. The transcript is spliced from 4 exons.